CAGCAGCCGCGGUAAUACGUAGGGUGCAAGCGUUAAUCGGAAUUACUGGGCGUAAAGCGCACGCAGGCGGUCUGUCAAGUCAGAUGUGAAAUCCCCGGGCUUAACCUGGGAACUGCAUUUGAAACUGGCAGGCUGGAGUCUUGUAGAGGGGGGUAGAAUUCCAGGUGUAGCGGUGAAAUGCGUAGAGAUCUGGAGGAAUACCGGUGGCGAAGGCGGCCCCCUGGACAAAGACUGACGCUCAGGUGCGAAAGCGUGGGGAGCAAACAGGAUUAGAUACCCGCGUAGUCCCUGUCUCUUAUAC
Molecule: ribosomal RNA, 301 nt
Filed under: uncultured bacterium
Lineage: Bacteria
Description: partial 16S ribosomal RNA
Rfam family: Bacterial small subunit ribosomal RNA
Source: RNAcentral